GAUGAACGCUGGCGGCGUGCCUAGUACAUGCAAGUCGAGCGAACAGACGAGGAGCUUGCUCCUCUGACGUUAGCGGCGGACGGGUGAGUAACACGUGGAUAACCUACCUAUAAGACUGGGAUAACUUCGGGAAACCGGAGCUAAUACCGGAUAAUAUAUUGAACCGCAUGGUUCAAUAGUGAAAGACGGUUUUGCUGUCACUUAUAGAUGGAUCCGCGCCGCAUUAGCUAGUUGGUAAGGUAACGGCUUACCAAGGCAACGAUGCGUAGCCGACCUGAGAGGGUGAUCGGCCACACUGGAACUGAGACACGGUCCAGACUCCUAAGGGAGGCAGCAGUAGGGAAUCUUCCGCAAUGGGCGAAAGCUUGACGGAGCAACGCCGCGUGAGUGAUGAAGGUCUUCGGAUCGUAAAACUCUGUUAUUAGGGAAGAACAAAUGUGUAAGUAACUAUGCACGUCUUGACGGUACCUAAUCAGAAAGCCACGGCUAACUACGUG
RNAcentral lists this ribosomal RNA (497 nucleotides) under uncultured bacterium. RNAcentral's name for it is "partial 16S ribosomal RNA". It matches the Rfam family "Bacterial small subunit ribosomal RNA", at positions 28 to 507 of the family's 1533-position model. The record is from RNAcentral.